This 492-nucleotide ribosomal RNA is filed under the name uncultured marine eukaryote. RNAcentral's name for it is "SSU rRNA". It matches the Rfam family "Eukaryotic small subunit ribosomal RNA", at positions 613 to 1106 of the family's 1831-position model. The record is from RNAcentral.
UUGUGGUUAAAAAGCUCGUAGUUGGAUCUCGGCGGACUGAGGGCGGUUUGCUUGCUAGUAUUACCGCCCUAUAGUCCGUAGUUUUGCCAGAGGUUUCGGGGUGCUCUUAAUCGAGUGUCCCGGGAUGCUGGCAGGUUUACUUUGAAAAAAUUAGAGUGCUCGAAGCAGGCUAUUACGCCUGAAUAUUCGUGCAUGGAAUAAUAGAAUAGGAAGUCGUUUCUAUUUUGUUGGUUUCGGAAAUCGACUUAAUGAUUAAUAGGGACAGUCGGGGGCAUUUGUAUUCAAACGACAGAGGUGAAAUCCUUGGACCGUUUGAAGACAAACUACUGCGAAAGCAUUUGCCAAGAAUGUUUUCAUUAAUCAAGAACGAAAGUUAAAGGUUCGAAGGCGAUUAGAUACCGCCCUAGUUUUAACCAUAAACGAUGCCAGCUAGCGAUCUGCGGACGUUUUUUUUGUAGACUCCGCAAGGGAGCUUCCGGGAAACCAAAGCAU